Molecule: RNA transcript, 3676 nt
Organism: Brassica rapa (field mustard)
Lineage: Eukaryota; Viridiplantae; Streptophyta; Magnoliopsida; Brassicales; Brassicaceae
Gene name: probable helicase CHR10
Source: RefSeq, a predicted model, not a curated record
AAUAUAAUUGUCUUUUACCCUUCAUUAAAAAUGAGGAAAAAAAUGAUUAUUGUAAACAUGAAAAGUGGUACUAUGAAUGUGCUAUUUGUGGCAAUUUCCCUUAUUAGAAUUCUAAACUCUACAUUCCAAAAACACUACUCCACCCCCAACUCUAAACCCUAAAUUUAGAUUAUUAAUUAUAUGAUUAUAAAUGUUUUUUUUUUCUUUAAAAUUGAGAGUAAAAGUGGUUAAAGCAAACACAAAAAGUGGUAUUAUGAAUGUGAUAUUUUUAGCAAUUUUUCAUGAAAUUACAAAAAAUUUAACAAUUUAGGAUUUUAGUGUUUUUUGUAGUUAAUCAAAUUACGCUAGUACGUGACAUCAUCAUCUAGUAUAAAUAGUAAAAAAUAUCAAUAGCAAGAUGAAUUGACGAGAUAAUGGCUCUGGAUGAGAAAAGCGGCAAACAAAAUAAGAUUGUAUCAACCGGGUCUAUUGGUAUAAGUGUGGAUCAAGUGGAUUUAGCGGUCAAAUAAAUAUGUUUGAAUGAAAAAAAUGAAACAAAAAGGAUCCAAAAUACUAUAUAAAUUUAAAAAUAAUAUAUAUAUAUAUAUAUAUAUAUAUCUUUAUAUAUAUAUCUUUAUAUAUAUAUAUUCAAUAUCAUUAAAUAUUUUUCAUAAAUAAUAGUAGCUUUUGUAGAAAAUAUUUUAUAAAUGCAACAAAUAUAAAAUUUUAUUUAAAAUAUUUGGGUACCUUUCAAAUUUUGUUUAGAUCUAUUCGAGUUUCUGUAUUUGGAGCUAAAUAAUUAAAUUUUAUACGAGUAUUUAUAAUUUUUUUUAUAGGUUUGGUUCAGUUCAUAUACCAUUUAAAUUAUGUAAGGGUUUUAAAAAUUCAAAUAUACCUUAAAAUCACCGUCGACAAAAAAAAAACCUUAAAAUAUUCAAAAAUCUAGAUCAAUGACAUGAUUUGGUAUGAGUUCCGUUCAGAUCACAUGACAUGAAAUGCAUGAAUCAGGUUAGACGUGAUGAUAAGAAUUUCAUGACUUGACCUGGUCUUCUAAACACUUUCUAUCUAUUUGGCUCUAUAUUCUAGAAACUUUAUCUCAUUGAUUUGUUUAGUGUUUUUUUUUCUUUGGACAAAGUUUAACAUCAUUUUUUUGCUGACUCUUAUUAAUAUACAAAAGUAAAGGAAAUUGCCACAAAUAUCAUAUUUAUAAUCCUAGUUUUUAUGUUUACACUAAUCGCUUUUACUUUCAUUUUUCGAAAGAGAAAUUUAGGAUUCUAAUAAAUGUAUAAAUAGAUACUUCAAAAAAAUAAAAAUAGUUUCAAACAUACUUUUCAAAAAAAAAAGUGAAAAAAAUUUAGAAAAAUUUCGAAUUUGAAAAAAUAUAAUUUGAAAACACAAAAAUUAUUAUUUUUUAUUUAUUAAAUAAUUAUAUAUAUAUAUAUAUAGAACAAAAGUAUAUGAGUCUUUUGUCACUUAAUGAAAAAUGUAUUUUGAAAAUAUCCCUUUAUUGGUGGUAAAGAUGAAAUUUCCCCAAAAUUAAAAGAUUCUUAUUAAAAAAAAGAAUUCUUCAUCAUACAGUGUUCAUGUAAUUAUUUUCCCAUAAUAAUAACAUUCUUCUAGAAUAAUAUCAACUAAAAUUUUAAUCUGCGCUGAGCGCCUAAGUUUUUUUUAUUUUUAUUUUAAAUAUGAUUAACCAAUUUAUAAAUCUUAAUUAAAAAUAUUAACUUUAAGAUAAUUCAAUCAUGACAAUUAUAAACAUUUUUCUUUAAAUCUCUAUAUAUAAAGGAGUGUUAUAUUCACUCCUGAAGUUGCCACAUAGGAUUCCAAGUCACAAAAUCGAAGUUUCUGGAAGCGACACAUGUCUCGUUCUGCAAAGUGCAGCGUUUCAUUUAAAUUCUUCUGUCAUGGGCUUCUUUUGCGUUUGUGUGGUUGGGAUCUGAAACUGGAAGGUGUAUCCGGCCCGGUUAGAUUGAUUCCACGCUCCAAACCUAAUUUUUUGAUCGAAUAAACGAAGAUCGUCUCUCUUCUUCGUGUUACGGCGACGAGUUGACGUUUGCACUUCUCCCUACGAUAUGAAACGGUCCGAGUUAUGGCUUCGUGUUUACUCCCAAUGAUUGAAUCCCCCACUAUGUCGUCUUCAAUGCUUUGUUUCGAUCUGUAAGGCGGUGUCUCUAAUCCUAUAAAAGGUAAACCUUACUUUCCGUAGAACAUCAUCAUCUUUACUCUUGAUUUCACAUACAUUUGUUGCUUUUGUUUUUGUUUGUAUUUGUUCGUGUUUUGCAGUCGCCAUUUCCUUCUUCGCCUUCGCCGUCAAUCAUCGUCACUCCUCUAACCGAUGAGCAGUAAGGGUUUCUUCAAUUGGUUCAAAGUAUAUGGCUGCUUCAGUUUCAACCAGACUUAUUUGCACUGUUUGAUCCUUUUCAGCUUUACGACGCAUCAUCACUAAUGCAUCUGAAAAUUGUUUAAGCUCUCCUCCAUGUCAUCAAAAGUUUGGUUUUUAGAUCAUGAAGAUCUCUUCAUGUCACUUCCAUUGCAUACAACUAAGAUCAACUUUCAUCCCGAUUGCAGAGAGUUUGGAAUCACAGUGACUCUAAAGCCUCACCAAGUUGAAGGAGUCUCUUCGCUUAUAUACAAAUAUCUACUCAGCGUCAAUGUCCUUCUCGAUUGAGCAGAUGGGGUUGGGGAAAACUCUACAAGCUAUUUAUUUUUUGAGUUAUCUAAAGUUUCAUCAAGGAUUGCGAAGGCCAUUUUGUGAGUCAAAUGAGAUCUGCUUCUUAAAGACAAGUUCUUGAUGUUGUGUCUUUAUUUUUGGCAGUUGUGCUUUGUCCUUUGAGCGUAACGGAUGGUUGGGUUGAAGAGACAAAAGGUUCACUCCAGAACAUGAAGUUCUUAGGAAUCUUUGUUACUAUUUAAUGUGUUGUUUACAACGUAUGCUAUAGCAUUGAUGGAUCAAGACUUCCUUUCUCAGAUUCGGUGGCAGUAUGCUGUAAUUGAUGAAGCUCAAAUACUCAAGAAUCCCAACAGUGUUGUCUCAUUAGGAAUGUUCAUCGAGUUUUGAACUGAAUGAUAUCAAAAUCUGUCCAUUACAAACUUGCUUUAGUCAUUUAAUAGCUGGGCUAGCAUUCAUUUGAUCCAGUGAGAAUCAAAACCCAUUUUGUAAAGGAGAGCCUCAAUGAAAUUCCACUCUAUCCGAUCAUAAGCCUUGCUCAUAUCUGUUUUAAUUGCCAUAAAAUUAUUCUGACAAGACUUAUUGGCUCUCAAACCAUGAAACAUUUCCUGUGCAAUAAGAAUAUUAUCCGAAAUUAGCCUUCCUGCCACAAAAGCCGAUUGUGUUUCUGAAAUUAACCUGGGAAGACAACUUUUCAAUCUUUGACACAAAACUUUCGAUAUGAUCUUGUAGCCAACAUUACAAAGACUUAUCGGCCUUAGUUCCGUCAUCCUUGUCGCCCUCUCCACUUUUGGUAUCAUACAAAUAUUAGUUAAAUAUCAUGUUUAUCACCACUAAAUAAACAUUUUCGAAAAUAUAUUCUUCAUUAAAAAGCAAUAGACUUUUAUACCCUUGCUCAAUAUAUUUUUUUCCAAUAAUUAUCUAAAUAAAUAAUAAAAAUUUUAAAAAUAAAAGUGUUUUUUUUUUCAUGUUUUCGAAUUAUAAUUUUUCAAAUUCAAACUUUUUAAAUUUUUUUUUUUGAUUUUUCAA